This is a long non-coding RNA of Plodia interpunctella (Indianmeal moth), 1010 nucleotides long. RefSeq lists it as uncharacterized. Lineage: Eukaryota; Metazoa; Arthropoda; Insecta; Lepidoptera; Pyralidae. The record is from RefSeq and is a predicted model, not a curated record. The transcript has 4 exons.
CGAUGCGCCGCGGGCGAGUCGCGGUGCCGGGUCACGCCGCCCGUGUCUGCUGCUUGACACCUCCUGGUGCGGACUGCUGCUUCAUUAUAAUCGACGCCGCUCCGAACUUCAUUUGUUUAUCCUUUAAUUUCACGCCCGCGCCGUGUGAUGUGUAGUCAUGGUGAUCGCCGCGGCGCGCGCUUAUCUCCUCCGUGUCGUUGGAGAGCGGCGGCUCGGGCGACUUCCACACGCACACGUAGUACACCGAUAGCAGGAUGGCAGCCAGCGACACCGACAGCAGGUACGCCAGCACUGUCAGCACGCGCACCACUUUGCUCACUGACUUCUGUUCAUAAAUCUCCCGGAUUGGAGCGCCCAUCUCCUCCGAAACGCUCUCCUCCUCUGUCUGACCGCAAACAGACAUCUUGCUAACUCUCAGCUACAUGUUUAUUUCAUUAUUCCCCCAGGAGUUACUAGACUAGACCACUUUUUAGUUUAAAAAAAUAAAUAGAAUGAUAGAUAAUUGCAGCGUAUGGCGCGUGUGGUAUUCGCGGAUGAGUAGCGCGAGUGUGGCGAGCGGGUGGCCACGUCUCGCGAUCCGCGCGCCCGCGAUGGAGCCGAUCAACUGUACCGAGCCGCGAAGUCGACGAGCUCCACGGGCUCGAGACGGAGCCCCGGCUUGAGCACGACGAAGGCGGUGGGCAGCUCGCCGGCGGCCUCGUGCGGCGCGCCCACCACGCCGCACUCCGCCACGCCCGGGUGCUGCAGCAACACGCUCUCCACUUCGGCGGGAGGCACCUAUUACACAGUCAACCAGUCUCAUUAGCAAAAAGGUUUUUUGCGGGGAAGAGAGAAGAAUGGCUUUUUCUUCGCCUGCGCUUUGGAAAUGGACGUUACCGUUUGCUCGCGGCGCUGAUAGUCUCCGUGCUCAACGGAGCCGCCCCGCACAUCACCACAUACACUGAAGACAAGUCGUACUUCUCCACCAGUGGGGACUUGGCGAGGAACACCACGAUUGGAGGAACGGCCAG